This 479-nucleotide ribosomal RNA is filed under the name uncultured bacterium. Its description in RNAcentral is "bacterial SSU rRNA". It matches the Rfam family "Bacterial small subunit ribosomal RNA", at positions 29 to 487 of the family's 1533-position model. The record is from RNAcentral.
AACUAACGCUGGCGGCGUGCCUAACACAUGCAAGUCGUACGAGAAAGCCGGCUUCGGCUGGUGAGUAAAGUGGCGCACGGGUGAGUAACGCGUGGAUAAUCUGCCCUUAAGUGUGGAAUAACGUACCGAAAGGUGCGCUAAUACCGCAUAAUGCCUGGCAACACAAGUUGUCCGGCCAAAGAAGGCCUCUGUUUACAAGCUUUCGCUUCAGGAUGAGUCCGCGUACCAUUAGCUUGUGGUGGGGUAAUGGCCUACCAAGGCUGCGAUGGUUAGCUGGUCUGAGAGGAUGAUCAGCCACACUGGAACUGAGACACGGUCCAGACUCCUACGGGAGCAGCAGUGAGGAAUAUUGCGCAAUGGGGCAACCCUGACGCAGCAACGCCGCGUGAGUGAGGAAGUUUUCGGACUGUAAAGCUCUGUCGAGCGGGAAGAAGUGUACCAUGGCUAAUAUCCAUGAUAUUUGACGGUACCGCUAGAGG